AUGCUUGUGCACAACUUCCACCUUGAUGAACAAGCCGAAGAUGAAAUUGUUUGGAAACACGCGAAUGACGGAAUCUACACGGCGGCUACCGCAUACAAGGCUCAGUUCCUUGGCUUGACCCUCUCUCCCAUGGACCGCAUGGUCUGGAAGGUUUGGGCUCCUCCCAAGGUUAAAUUCUUUUCCUGGUUGGCAUUGCAAGAUAGGAUUUGGACCGCCGAUCGCUUGGAGAGGCGUGGGUGGCCAAAUUGCGGCCUCUGCCCUCUUUGCAAGAGGGAGCAGGAAACGGGUGCUCACCUUUUCUUCAAGUGCCGCUACACGAUUAGGCUUUGA
Molecule: ribosomal RNA, 330 nt
Filed under: Triticum aestivum (bread wheat)
Lineage: Eukaryota; Viridiplantae; Streptophyta; Magnoliopsida; Poales; Poaceae
Description: partial small subunit ribosomal RNA
Source: RNAcentral